GAUGAACGCUAGCGGCAGGCCUAACACAUGCAAGUCGAACGGUAACAUAAGGUGCUUGCACUUUGAUGACGAGUGGCGCACGGGUGCGCAACGCGUAUAGAACCUACCCUGUACAGGGGGAUAGCCCAGAGAAAUUUGGAUUAAUACCCCGUGGUAAAUAUGAAUGGCAUCAUUUAUAUUUUAAAGUUUUCGGACGGUACGGGAUGGCUAUGCGUCCUAUUAGUUAGAUGGUGAGGUAACGGCUCACCAUGGCAGCGAUAGGUAGGGGCCCUGAGAGGGGGAUCCCCCACACUGGUACUGAGACACGGACCAGACUCCUACGGGAGGCAGCAGUGAGGAAUAUUGGACAAUGGGCGCAAGCCUGAUCCAGCCAUGCCGCGUGCAGGAAGACGGCCCUAUGGGUUGUAAACUGCUUUUAUACGGGAAGAAUAAGGGACACGUGUGUCCUGGUGACGGUACCGUAAGAAUAAGGACCGGCUAACUCCGUGCCAGCAGCCGCGGUAAUACGGAGGGUCC
RNAcentral lists this ribosomal RNA (516 nucleotides) under uncultured bacterium. RNAcentral's name for it is "bacterial SSU rRNA". It matches the Rfam family "Bacterial small subunit ribosomal RNA", at positions 28 to 535 of the family's 1533-position model. The record is from RNAcentral.